RNAcentral lists this long non-coding RNA (465 nucleotides) under Olea europaea (common olive). RNAcentral describes it as "long non-coding RNA (OEUR_LNC013466)". Lineage: Eukaryota; Viridiplantae; Streptophyta; Magnoliopsida; Lamiales; Oleaceae. The record is from RNAcentral.
UUCACAUAUGCUUGAUUACAGAUUAAUACAAGUUCAAAAUUCAACAUAUAAAAUCAUUUAUUAAAUAGAAUCAUUACAUCCUCAAUCAACUCAAAACCCACAAAGACAUUUUAGAGAGAAGUGAUUUUAAUCAGAGAAGUUUCAAAGAGCUGAUUCUAGAGCAACUUAAUAACCUAAUAUUGGGUAAGGUGUAUCGGCCAAUAAAGUAUUUCACAAUAAUCCCAUACAAAUCAAUGGCAACCGAAUAAGAAUAAAAAUCAAUAAUUAUACCCUCGAAGUUGUACCCGGCUAAUGACUUAUUUGAUUAAUAAAUAAAUCAUGGGCUCAACAACUGAUUGAACGGUUAUGGCUGAUUGAGUCUGGGUGAGGGUUAUGACUGAAUGGCACGAGAAAGCAAAGAGAAGGAAGAAUGAGAAGAAACAAUCCGUGGGGAGAAAAUAAAAAGUGAGGAUAGGAAAAGAAAAG